CCGGCGACCGGCGCACGGGUGAGUAACACGUAUGCAACCUGGCCGCCACAGGGGGAUAACCCGCGGAAACGCGGCCUAAUACCCCGUGACGCCACCGGAGGGCAUCCUCCGGUGGCCAAAGGAGCGAUCCGGUGGCGGAUGGGCAUGCGGCGCAUUAGCUAGACGGCGGGGUGGCGGCCCACCGUGGCGACGAUGCGUAGGGGUUCUGAGAGGAAGGCCCCCCACACUGGGACUGAGACACGGCCCAGACUCCUACGGGAGGCAGCAG
This 268-nucleotide ribosomal RNA is filed under the name uncultured bacterium. RNAcentral describes it as "partial 16S ribosomal RNA". It matches the Rfam family "Bacterial small subunit ribosomal RNA", at positions 88 to 354 of the family's 1533-position model. The record is from RNAcentral.